Molecule: long non-coding RNA, 335 nt
Filed under: Felis catus (domestic cat)
Lineage: Eukaryota; Metazoa; Chordata; Mammalia; Carnivora; Felidae
Description: lncRNA (ENSFCAG00000047935.1)
Source: RNAcentral
ACCAGAGAAGGGACUUCAUUUACCGUCAGGUCGCAGGACUGAGAACUUCCAUUCAACAGCUGCCAGUGACGUCUAAGCCGCCCUCCUACGCCGGGGCUACGGAACCAAUGAGGCUGAGGUGGAGGAGAGCCAAGAAGAGGGACUGGAAUUUAUAAUCAAACCUGAAGCGAGUGGAGCCAAGUAGAGAUAUGAGUUCAUGCUUCCUGACCAUAAAUAUAAAUUCAAGGGUAUUUUAUGGCACUUUACAGUUUGGAAAAAGCUUUCAUGGAACUACUGAUCAUUUAUCAUUCUACCACCUGCCUCCUCUUAUCACAUUUUCACAAUCUAGAGUGUGA